UUGUUCCUUAGAACAUGACCGUGAACAUGUAACGUAAUGCUACCGGGGAGAGCCAUCUCCUCGGCCCUGCCGGCCCCAGCCUGUUGGCUGGGUGUCGGAAUACGGCGCGGGAUGUCGCCAAGGAACACUGAUUUGCUGAGGCAGACGACAUUACGUUGUACUGCUGACGCCAACUUAAAC
RNAcentral lists this unclassified non-coding RNA (180 nucleotides) under Isolepis levynsiana. Its description in RNAcentral is "partial ITS1". Lineage: Eukaryota; Viridiplantae; Streptophyta; Magnoliopsida; Poales; Cyperaceae. The record is from RNAcentral.